GACAGGUGCUGCAUGGCUGUCGUCAGCUCGUGUCGUGAGAUGUAGGGUUAAGUCCCCGCAACGAGCGCAACCCUUGUCUUUAAUUGCCAUCAUUGAGUUGGGCACUUUAAAGAGACUGCCGGUGUUAAACCGGAGGAAGUGGGGAUGACGUCAAGUCCUCAUGGCCCUUAUGCCCAGGGCUACACACGUGCUACAAUGGGCGGUACAAAGGGUAGCGAUGCCGCGAGGUGAAGCCAAAUCCCAAAAAGCCGUCCACAGUUCGGAUUGGAGUCUGCAACUCGACUCCAUGAAGCCGGAAUCGCUAGUAAUCGUGGAUCAGCAUGCCACGGUCGAAUACGUUCCCGGGCCUU
This 350-nucleotide ribosomal RNA is filed under the name uncultured Geobacter sp. RNAcentral describes it as "bacterial SSU rRNA". It matches the Rfam family "Bacterial small subunit ribosomal RNA", at positions 1033 to 1382 of the family's 1533-position model. The record is from RNAcentral. Lineage: Bacteria; Pseudomonadati; Thermodesulfobacteriota; Desulfuromonadia; Geobacterales; Geobacteraceae.